AGAGUUUGAUCCUGGCUCAGGACGAACGCUGGCGGCGCGCUUAACACAUGCAAGUCGAGCGAGAACCAGUCCUUCGGGACUGGGGACAGCGGCGAACGGGUGAGUAACACGUGGGUAAUCUGCCCUCGAUUCUGGGAUAGCCCGGGGAAACCCGGAUUAAUACCGGAUAGCCUCUCGAGCUUUCGAGCUUGUGAGAAAAGGUAGCUUCGGCCUCCGAUCGAGGAUGAGCCCGCGGCGGAUUAGCUUGUUGGUGGGGUAAUGGCCUACCAAGGCGACGAUCCGUAGCUGGUCUGAGAGGACGAUCAGCCACACUGGGACUGAGACACGGCCCAGACUCCUACGGGAGGCAGCAGUGGGGAAUCUUGCGCAAUGGGCGAAAGCCUGACGCAGCGACGCCGCGUGGGGGAAGAAGGCCU
Molecule: ribosomal RNA, 416 nt
Filed under: uncultured bacterium
Lineage: Bacteria
Description: bacterial SSU rRNA
Rfam family: Bacterial small subunit ribosomal RNA
Source: RNAcentral